GAUCAUGUACUUGAAUAAACAAUCACGUAGGCCUGCCGUGAAGGCUUUGAGGGCAGUCUUGUCGUCUGCCUCAGCAUAACGGGAAUACUCAUGGCUGAAGCGGCCAGUAUACAUACGUAAUGACUUGUCUGGCUUCUGGUGAAUAGUGUACAAGUCAUCCGCAGAGUGCAAGCGAUCGGUCUAGAAAAUGUGUUAAGAAACAAACAGUUUCCUCAAUUCCUCAAAUGAGUCUACUGUCUCAGGUGGAAGACAACAAUACCAGUUUAAAGCUUCGCCAGAGAGGGUGGAGGGGAAGAGAAGACAUCGCUCUUCGUCGGUGUGCAUCCGGUAUGCCAUGGUGGACUCAAAGAGGUUCAUGUGUUCAAUCGAGUCCCCAUUUCCAGUAUAAAGUUGCAAGCCAAGCUUCUGCUUUGUCUUUGCUUGAAGGGGGUGUUAAGGAUCCUCCUUGUAAGAGGGUCAGGCCUAGGUUGGUUCCAAUCAGGUAUCUUAGCUUGUCGUUCAGCUUUCAACUUGUUUACUUCCUUAAAGAGUUGUAGGACAAGAGGGUCCUGAGUGGAGUCAUGUACCACUAGAGAUUUCUUUCGUAAAUCUCCAUCUACUCUUGGAAGUAGGAAGGUUUGAUUAAGAGCAUGUGAUUUUUCCCUGGACUCGCCGUACUGACUUCCAAUGUAUGUCUGUCGGAACAUCUCUAAGUCCCCUAUACCUUCGUGUUUCUCUAGGACUUGUUGCCCCUUCCCCAAAUUAGUAGCCCGUCUGGGACAUGUGAGGGGACCGAGUCUUUCAGAUACCUUUGGGUCAUUGAUCUUCGAGUUUACAUGGAUGGGAUUGUCUCGACGUUGCUUUAUGAAGUCUCGACAGUCGCGAAAGAUGACUUUCGAUCCUUCCACUCCUUCUGUAAGGAGGUAUCUUCCUCCACUCCUUCUGCUUCGAGUCGAAGCAGCUGAGUUGAAAGAAGUCUCAUGUUAGUCGCCAUUUCGAUGAGUAGCUCGCUCCUCAACAGGAAUAUCCAGGUCGAGGGCAAAUGACCCUCCGUGUUGAGGGGCACCCAGUUGAUGGUUGACUUCCACAAGGGUGAUGAGCUCGUGUGUUUAGUAUAUCUAGCCUCGUGGAGCAUCUCGAAGACUUUCUUAUACUGCUCUUGGAGGAUCUCAUUCUUCAUCGUUAUCUUGUUGUUCUGAGUCUCAAGCUCAUCGACUUUAGCCUAAAGAGCAAACUUCUUUUGUUCAUUCUUUCGUUGCUUCGCACCAUGUGCAAGAGGGAUGUCAUUCUGCGUGUUAUGGCUUCCUUCGCUCCCCAUAUUGGAAAGGGAUGCCUAGUCAAAAGAGUGUGUACGAAUGGUGGAAACCAGCUUAACAAAGCUGAAGAGAGUGGGAAUAAGUGUCGUUCCCACAAACGGCGCCAAAUGUUGAUGCACAAAAUCGGUGAGGACUUUGGUACAACAGAAAGUGUUAAGUUUGUGACCUUCGCUAGAUUGCUCCGGUCACUAGUGUGGAUAAGUAUGUAAAUGGAUAGGGAUAGGGAAGCAAACACAAGAUGUACGUGGUUCACCCAGAUUGGCUACGUCCACGGAGUAGAGGAGUUCUCAUUAAUUGUGAAGGGUUUACAUAAGUACAUAGGUUCAAGCUCUCCUUUAGUGAGUACUAGUGAAUGAUUUAGUACAAAUGACAUUAGGAAAUAUUGUGAGAGAAUGAUCUCUAUUUAUAAAAGAGAGUUUCUAGUUUCAUUCUAACAUUGACACGUGUCGUGCUGUGAUUGGCCUCUGAUGUCGACACGUGUCGUGUUAUGAUUGGCCUCUAAUGUUGACAUGUGUCGCGUUGCGAUUGGCCUCUUGGUUGGAGAGACUCUUGUGGGUCAUUGACGGUAUAAUGUUGACCGGUGCUUAGUAGUUUCGGGGUUGGUCAAGUAUGGUACAAACACUUGCGACAAUUAGAGAUCAAAUCGAGCAAUUUGGAGCAGCUUUAGACUUGGACUCGAUAGCAUGCGUGGAUAGCAUAUGGGUUGGACGUUUUUGGUGUUUUAGGUGUUAAAUGUGUGCUAAAUUCUGGAGAAAUUAUAGUUGAGGCUAGGAAGACAAGGAAUUGCACAAGAAAGAGGAAUCCCAGUUGGACUGAAACAUUAUCUUAUCAUAUUUUAUCUCCAGUUGCAAUGAAGAAUCAUAAUCACAUUCCAACACUCAAAACGCCUAAUCCUUUUCCCCUUGGAUUCUGCCCCAUAUAUAUAUAGUCCUGCAUCGUUUUAGAAGUGUGUCUUGCCUACCAUUCAUCCGUUGAAGUUUCUAGAGUUUUCAGAGGUCUUUCUUUGUUUUAAGUUUCAAUGUUUAUUUUAGAUUUCUUUUCAAUUAUGAUGAACAUGUGUAACUAAUUUUCUUUUUAACUAGAUGUGAAUUUGAAGUCAUGAUCAUAUGUUUUAUAUAAAUUGAUUACAUCCAGUUAUUAUUUCAUAAAACAUGAAUGCGAUUUACUUAUCUGCCUUAAAGAUAACUUAUUCUUGUAUGUUUAUUAAGGAUGCAUACUUAAUUUGCAUACAGGGAUUUGAUGCUAGUAUAUAAGGGAAUUUCACCUAAUCAUUAUGAACUUAUAUUUAUAAGUAGUAAAAGUCACUAGUCAUGAUUGAGUUAAGUAAAUUCUUGACAGGAGUAUCAUGUAUUUCAUAGUUAUGAAUGUUUCAUCAAUGCUUAUGAUUUUCAUAGAACUUGAUGAUAUUUGAGAUGUAUCUUUGUCAUGAUUUUCAUAGUUAGGGAACUUGAGAAGAAUAAUUUGGUUACGUUGCUAAGUCCAAUUCAAUGAACUAGGAAAAUCUGUGAGUUAAUUAAUGUUGUUCACGAUUAAUUUGCGGCAUUGUCAUUCAUGGUUUAUAAGAAUAACAACUGGAAAUCAAUUUGUAUGCAUAUGUUUUAUUAUGUGUGUAGAAGAAUCAUUUAACUAUCAUUUUAUCCAUAUUUCGUUCACAACUUAAUUUAUUUGCUGUCAUUUACUUUUGUUUUAAUUAAAUUAGUCCAAAAUUCCUCAAUCUCUGUUUUGUUAUCAAUUUUUAACUUAGUUUUUAGUUUUAUAAGUUUAAUUUGUAUUGAUUAGCAUUCCUUAUAAUUCUUGGAAGAAAACAAUCCCUACUUACUACAAUUGCAUAAUCUACAAAGUUUAAUUUGUGUGUUAAUUUCUACCACAUCAUUAAUGUCAAUUUUUUUAUAUUUAAAAUUUAAUUUUAGAAAAUUCUUAAUGCCUUUUUUUAAAUAUAUUUUUACUUUUUCUUGUCCGAGUCUUAUCAAUGAAAUUGGAAGAGGGGGAAUUUUUUUGGGUCGGAAAGUAACAUUCAUUAAGCAUAAGAAAGGGUUCACGAGGCCAUCCAAAGGAAAGCAAAGCAACCAAUAACACAUUUGGAAAUUCAAAUACACAAAAGCUCAGCCCAAUAAGCAAACAAACAAAAACAAAAACUUUAAUUCCGAUCCUCCAAACGCAAAACACAACCGUCGCUGCCGUCACUAACGUCUUGCCAGCAGCCACUAAAGGCCAAAACACUAGAGAAAACAAUCUAGUGGUGAGUUCAAUCAAGACAUUCCAACACAAAAAUUACAAAACCGCAACCAAAAGCACACCACAACCAGAUUUGGUUAUCGGAGAUGCCGAACCAAUAGAUAGCCAUCGGAUCCAAAUCACGUUCACCAACUCCUGCAAAUAUAAUCAAACACAGUAGCAAAUGGAGGGUGAGCCAAAGGGGUAUGUAAAAUCCCUUUACUUUGGCCGAAGCUGCAAAAAGCUUGCCCCUGAGAGAAUUCCAACAUACCAAUCGGUGGAGGGUCACUAAGGAAGGAAAAUGGAUAUGGCAUCCAUUUCAGCCAAAGCUCACAAAUCUCAGCAUACAUUGGGCUAGGGACGGAUUAUGAGGAAGGAAGAGGGAAAGGGUGGGGGAGAUGAAGGCUUGGGUAUGAAAAGGCAAUGUAAGAGGAGAGAGGGUGGGGGAAAGCUAAAUAUCAUAAGGCAGUAAAAAUUAACGGUAUAGGUCAGAGAAGCGGCGAUGAACACCGAGGACGCAUCACACCGACUCUCAAAAUGGCAACCCGAGGAGACAAUUGAGGGUGAGCAUGAGAAGGUGGGAGAGCUUUCUGGGCAGUGCCGCCUGCUUCGGUCAUUUGACCAACACUCCUUCAAAACAUAUAACUUGUUCUUCACUCUCCAUGGCAAGAAAGGAAAGGAGAGACAAUUACAAAUCUCAAUUACACUUGACCCGUGGGAUUACAAAUCUCAAAUCAGAGGAAUUCGCAUUGACAGUCAAGGGAGUUACCAUCUUCACAAUUACAGACGACCCACGGAUCAAACCCUCCUCAUUAGGCUUGGCAACCGAGAUUUCAAAAAGGCCAUCAAUGGGGGCUAAAGUAUAGUAUGAAGCCUUCAAUUACCUCGUGCGAUUUUUUACCUUCCUCCCAUGAAGCCUAUCAAUUAGUCCCUGAGGAGUGUCACCAAUACUGAGGUCCACGGAAUUUUGUUUCGCUCAUGGGUAUUACCAUGAUGUUAAUGGUUUUAAUCGAUGAAGAUAAAACCACAAGACCACAGCUACAAGCUCUAUACCCAUGGUGUGGUGACACGACCAACCAAUAUACUAGAAACUGAUCACAAAUCCUAAUUCAAAACUCAAAAGGAUUAAACAAUAGAUAAAUUAGUCUACCGUUAGAAAAUAGUUCCGAGUUUUAAUACACAUUGGUCAAAAACUAAUUUUCAAUUCAACGAAAAACCAUUAACAAGUCAGAGUCUCGUGUCACAAAACUGCAUUUCAGGUAUUAGAAUUUCAGUCGGUAAACUCUCAAAGUGACUCGGUUCCAAAGAAAACAUAGCUUCCAGAAAAACUUCCAUCACAAACGCAUACUUCCUAGUUUUAACUAUUCUUCAGAAACUGGGCUAUCAAAAUUUCAAGAAAAUUUCUCAAUCAAAAAAAUCCAUCGACUUCUGACAAGUUUUUUUUUUUUUAAAACCAAGACCCUUCUAUUGUAAAGAUGGUAUAUCACAAACGCAUACUUCUUAGUUUAACUAUUCUUCAGAAACGGGGAUAUCAAAAUUUCAAAAAAAAAAAAACCAAAAACAAAAAUUCUCAAUCAAAAAAAUCCAUCAACGUCUGACAAGUUUUUUAAAUCAAGACACUUCUAUUGCAAAGAUUGUAUAUGUAGCUAGUAGAAAUCGUAGUAGUACUUAUUGCCGCAGAACCUGCAUCACGUAUACCUGCCAAAGGACUGCAUUAAACAAUUGAAUCAUGUUAUCAUCUAAAGAGAAAAGUCUAAGGUCUGAUGGUGCCCAAAUGUUUCAAACGAAACAUCACAACUCACAGAGCGCCAUUUGGGACCAGUUUCCAACUCACAAAAACAAUUUAAAAUUUCCAAUUUACGAUGCCAUAGAUUAAAAACAAAUUAUGCAAAACCAGGAAAAACAAUGAAGAGCACCGAUAAACAAAGUUAACAAUGAGCAGUUAAAAAAAUUACUACAUUAUCAAGUUCAUUUAAUCCGUAGGAUUUGGGAAAUUAAAAAAGUAAUUUUGUCCAACCCCGCUGACUCCAUAAAAUACAGAUAGAUUUAUAAGUAAUUUCUCAAACUCUUGAUCAAACAAGUCAAAUUAAAAGCUACAGCACUUUGAAGAACGCGAAAACAGAAAAGGAGAGAAAAAACAGAAAUAUAAUUUGAUAGUUUUAAGAUUCUGCUCUUUGUAGUAACCAUCAGCUCCUUUUAAACUUCAGAAGAAUCAGCAGACCAGUACAAAAAGACUGAUGCACCUAUGUGGGAUCUGCACAUUUAAUAAAAAUAUGUGAAAAAUAAUUUCAAAAGAGAAGGUUUUAGCACCCAAGAUACCUUUAAAAGGCAUACAAGUUAGAUUUCAAGUUCAAAAGGCGAACUGGUCUCAACAUUUAAAUUACACAUGGAAUGCCGAUAUGAACUUGCUGCAAAAACUCAGGUGAUUCACAAUACAUAAAUAUAACAACUUUGGAGAGAUCCAUUAUUAGGAGCUUGGUAAAAAAGGAGCCUUCAAAUGGUCAAACAAUUCUAAACACUUUGUUCAAAUAAUGCACCACUCAAUCAAAAUAAGCUUUAGAACUCAUGAGCGUUCGUUUUUUAGGUUUUAGAAUGGUUUAACAUGAGUACAAGCUCGACAUCCGAAUGUUUGGACUUUGGAUUGGUUUAAUGGAGCACAAAGUAAACGUCAGCAUUUGCAUUAAACCUCAAUAGUAGAUACUCCUCCGACUGAUAGAACAUAUGCACGACACAAUACAUGUCAAAAAGAGAACAUAUAGCAGGAUCUAUGCAAAAACCUAAAGAUCUAUAUAGUGGCAUGCCAAAAACCACCUUCCACAAAACAAGGUAUUCUCAUUAGUGACUCUUUACCCUGAAAUUCUGUAAUAUUUGACAGAACUAGAAUUGCAAUAGAUUUGGAGGCCAACAUAUCAAGCAAGUAACAGACACUAUCAAAUAGUUCAAGAAGGGCGAACCCAAGAUGUUCAAUUCAAAAGAAGGCAAGAGAAAAUUAUCUGUAUGGUCUAGAAGAACCCGGAAAAUACCAAUGGGUUGAAAUUAACCCACCCCAAAUUUUCAAUAUUGGUUUGUGCUGACUCCCAUAUAAGAGAUUCAGCGGCAGCUAGACAAUAUUAACAAAACCUUACAUAGUGGAGGGAUUUAUAGGCUUUUGAAAAGUCACUUAUUUGGUUCUUGAAAAUCAAUCUAAAUGCCAAAUUUACUGCCAUCUACCAAAAAGGAGUAAGUAUAGGAGUGGCUUGUUAUCAUUUUGGAUGAGAAUGACUCAAAUUAUCAAGUAAAAGAGCGAAUUUGUUAUACCUCAUGGGCACCUAAUGCCCCAUGUACGGAGCGCCACCAGAUUGCCCAACGCCAUGCUGCCCUCUUCCUGAACCACCUUGCCCUAACUGCGGGUUAGGGUAGCCACCUUGCAUUGCACCUUGAUUUCCAUAGCUUCCCAUCAUCCCAGGACUAAUACUUGCCUGAUUCCCAUAUCCACCCUGUAUCACAUGUCCUGCACCAGGAACACCUGGGUUCACAUUUGGAGCAGAUCCAAACGUCCCCAAAAGGUUUGUCAACCCCAAGCCAGCUCCCUGUGUUGCAAGCAAAGCAGUCAGUGCCUGCCCAAUUGCCGGGUUAAACGCCUGGGCUGCAGGAGCCCCCUGAUUAAAUCCAAUCCCUCCACUCGCAGGCGCCAUCAAAUGCCCCAUUCCUGAUGCAGCUCCACCUGCAUAACCUGGAUUCUCAUUCCUCUGAAACUUGGAAUUAUGUGACUUGUGGUGGUGCUGGUUCUGGUGCUGGUGCUGAGACUUGCCCGGCUUUGGACCGUCAAUAGCCUUCUGGCAAUGCAAAAUAUGGCCCUCAAAAUUCUUGUGUGGCUCUUCCAGAGCCCUCUUCGCACUCUCUGCCGACUUGUACACAAACAAGCAAAACCCCUUAGGCCUCCCCGUUAGCUUAUCGAGCCCUAGUGGCCCGUCCUCAACUUCUCCAAACCUAGAAAAGAACAUAAGCAGCUUCUGGAUAUCCAAGUCCGCCCCAACAUUGCUCACAUAGAUCUUCCUCUGAGUGUACUCAGACAUUGGCUGGGACUGAGCCGCCUGGGCCACCACAGGUCCAGCAGCGGCAUUAGGAGCCGGGCCAGGGCCAAUUGCCGCCAGCUGGCAUGCAGUCAUCCGAUUACCGAUCCUCUUCUGGGGCUGCUGUAGGGCUUUUCGGGCCCCAGAACGAGUCUUGAAGAGAAUGAAACCGUAACCCUUGGACUUACCAGAGACCUUAUCGCAAACAGCCUUGCAAUCCUCAAUCUCACCGUAUUCCCUAAAUACGCCAGUUAGGGUUUCGGCGUUGGUAUCCCAUCCGAGACCGUGGACGAAGAUCUUGCGGUGGAUUGGGUCCUCAUCCGCAACCUUCCGGAUCCGAUCCGCCACGUCGCCAUGAUUAUCGGCAGCUUCGCGGAGCAGGGCCAUAAGCUGUUCCUUGGUGAAUGGUUCUAGAAGAUUCUGGAUCGGCUCGUCCUCGUCGUUACCGGCACCGGCCUGAUCCGAAGCCGCUGAGAUGGAGGUCGUGGUUACGUUAUAGGUUUCCUUAUACUCAGCGCCCGGCUCCUCUUCGUCCUCCUCUUCUUCCUCUUCCUCUUCAUCGGCUCCUUCAUCUUCCUUCUCUUCUUCCGGCUCUUCCUCCUCCACCUCCUCUUCUUCGACUUCUUCUUCUUCCUCUUCGACUACUUCCUGUGCUGGUUCAAUUUGGGGUUUGGGUUCCUCAACGACCUGUUGUUGCUUCUUGGAGGGUUCGGAGGGCUCGGUGGAGCUGAGCUUUCUCUUUUUCGCCAUUAUAGGAGGGGAGCAGGGCGUCGCGGAUAGAGGGAUUUGGGGGUUAGGGUUAGGGUUUCUUUGAGGAGCUGCUGCGGCGCCCAAGUGAAAACACACAGGCACGCAGGAACUGAUUGGGAAUCGAGAGAGAGAGAGAGAGAGAGAGAUAGGAGAUGCGGGGUAAAGAUAUCGUCUAAUCUCUUUAGGUUAGGGGCACUUUCGUAUUUCUAGUCUAGGUAUCUUUAUCUUAUAUCUUAUGUAUUAGGGAAACGGAAAACUAAUGAAAACAUUCUAGAAAACUUUCAUUUAAUCAUAAGGACAAAUAAUUUCAAAAAUAGCCGCCCUUGCAAACUUUCUGAUAGAAAAAGAAAAAAAAAAAGUAUUUCAAUCUUCAACAUCCAUCAAAAGUCACAUGCUCUUCAUCAAAUCAAAUACAAAUGACAAAGUUAUGGGCUCCAGGAAACAAGUCAUGCACAAGUUGACAUGCAAAAUGAGACAACUAAGUUCACAUCCAUUCAUUAAAACAAGGCAAAAGAAGACAAAUAAGUCAGACCACGUUUUAGAAACAGUGCUGACAAUUUCAGCAACAGUAGAAGUAAAGUGACAAAUGACAAAUACCAAGGAUACGUCUACACAUUCAUUUGUAAAGAGUUUUAAUAUCAUAGUAUUCUCAUUCUGUAUUUAUAGGGAGAAUUCCUUUCAUUGUAAGGGCACACGAGAUACACACCAUACUCACACCAUACUUCAAUCCUCUUACACUCAAGCAUUCGAAACCUUCCUAGUAUCUUUUGUAAACACUUCUUUGUAAACACUUCUCUUUGUAAACAUUCUAUAUAUCAAUAAAAGUUCAAGUGUACAGAUUCAAGAAAUCUCCAAAUCUUAAAUAAGUUUUCUUUUUUUCUUUAGUAUGUUUGUUUAAUUAAGACGUCUAGUCCAAAAUAGGAAAACAUUAUUGCAGUUAUAUUAUUAACCUGCUAAACUAACGAUCAUAUUUUGUUCAAGCACUCUGUUAUAGUUGAAUGUUUACCAUACAAAUAACUAGGCAUUAACCAGGGUACCUUUGAGUUCAGCCGUUAAGGUCUUAUACCUGCAUUAUGAAUGGCCGUCAAGGUAUAAAUAUCGAUGAUAUCGGAAAUAUCGGUAGUCCAAAAACACGGAAAUUUCGAUGGAAAUAUCGGGAUAUUAUCGAUAUCGAUAAAAAUUGAAUAAAAACCACGGAAAUUGUAAGAAAAACUUGGAAAUUUUUAUUGAAACUUUGCAAGAUGUUUAUUUAGUCAAUUAUCUAUUAGUUUAUUACAAAAAAUUGGAAGGAAAUGCAUUGCAUGAUAGAUAUAACUGAUUUAAGUUGAUUAUAUAGCGAGCUGGCAAACAUUGUGAGUUUAGAAAAUAUGUAGUAAUUAAUAAAAGAAGUUUAAACACACCAUAAUUAUUUAUAUAUAAUGAAUUAGUACAAUAUUUUAUACUUUAUACAUUGCAUGGUAAGAUAUAUGAGUGACUUAGCAAUGUCUAAAAUAUCGAUGAUAUCAGAAAUAUUGGUAGUCCAAAAAAAUAUCGGUAGUCUAAAAACACGGAAAUUUCGAUGGAAAUAUCGGGAUAUUAUGGAUAUUUUAUACCAUGGUGGCCGUCAUGCUGAAACAUGUCGAGUUCCAUGUGCAAGGUUUUAUAUCUAGUUGUUAUAAUAGUCAUCCAACAAUUUAAUCGAGUCUGCUUAACGAAUUUGGUAUCUGAGCCAAGUUUAGCAUUUUAAUAGUAUAAUUAUAAUAGUAAAGUACCUUGAUGACAGAAGUCAUUAACACAACAUAUAUCACACUAGUUUAAAUUUUUAUGAAUAAGAGAUAUUAUUGUCCUUGUAGACUUUGUCAACCAUAACCAUCAAGUACUUAUUGUCCUAGACACCCAACUAUAACUAGCAUAAAGAGAAGAUUAACAUAUAUAUAUAUCCAAAAGAAUUAGCAGGACUUUGAAGAAGCAGAAGUUUUAUCUUAGUUAUCUUGAACAUCCUUCAUUUAUUAGUAAAUAUAAUAAUACAGAAGUGCAGCAAAAAGAGCAACAUGUCAAGUUUUAGAGACACUAAGAGAAGAAAAAGAAUUUCUAAGAAACCAAUUAGCCAUAACUUUAGAGAAAGGUAGACUGUAGUUUAUGAUAGAUUACCUUAAUUUAGAAAUUAGUGAACCUCAAAAAAGAAAAAUAACCUUAGACCAAAUUAGUUUAGUUUAUUAUUUUUCAUUGAGAAAGCAUAAUCAUAUUUUGCAUAGUAAAGAAAAUCCACAAGUCAAUAGUAUUGUAGAUCUUAUUAUUAGUCAAACAGAAAAUAUAAAAUUAGAAAAUAAUAGGCAUAAUCAUUUGUUAAACCAGUUGUUAGAGCAUUUUCUAAAAAAUUUCAUAAAAACAAUUAGACAAAAUUUAGAUUAUAUUACAUCUCAGUUAAGAGAUAAUAAUAAAAAUAUUCAAAGGUUUCCUAGCAAAAGAGAUAAAAUAGCUUGUUGACCUUAUAGAUAGUAAGCUUAAGCAAGUAGAACUCAGAUCAUUAGAAAUAGUUAAGCAGUUAAAAUUAGAAGUUCAAAAAAUUCAAUUAGUGCAAAAAGAGUUGAGUGAACAAGUAGAUAAGUUGCAUAAUAGAUAGAUUAUUAGUUUAAUGAUCAAUUCUAUAACUAGCAGAAAAUAUAUCCAAGUUUUAAAAGAAAUUAGUAAGCUAGAUAAAGAACCAGUAGGUUUAACAAAUUUUUCGACACAAGUAGCUAGUAAUAAUGUUGAUGCACAAAAUCAGUGAGGAUUUUGGUACAAUAGAAAGUGUUAAGUUUGUGAUCUUCGCUAGAUUGCUUCGGUCAUUAGUGUGGAUAAGUAUGUAAAUGGAUAGAGACAGGGAAGCAAACACAAAAUGUACGUGGUUCACCCAAAUUGGCUACGUCCACGGAGUAGAAGAAUUUUCAUUAAUUGUAAAGGGUUUACACAAGUACAUAGGUUCAAACUCUCCCUUUGCGAGUAUUAGUGAAUGAUUUAGUAUAAAUGACAUUAGGAAAUAUUGUGAUAGAAUGAUCUCUAUUUAUAGAAGAGAGUUUCUAGUUUCAUUCUGACAUUGACACAUGUCGUGUUGUGAUGGCUUCUGAUGUUGACACGUGUCGCGCUAUGAUUGGCUUCUGAUGUCGACACAUGUCGCGCUGUGAUUGGCCUUCUGGUUGGAGGGAAACUCUUCUGGGUCUUUGACGGUAUAACGUUGACCGGUGCUCAGUAGUUUCUGGAUUGGUCAAGUAUGGUACAAACAGUGAUUCUCUAAGUUCCCGAGUGAGGGAAGCUCCUCGGUUGGGGACUUGCAAGAUCCAAGUCAUUGAGUAAUCAUGAAACUUCUAAGUACCGAAGUACUUUUCCUCCAUCCAGGGAUGGUAUCUUUAACCGAUGAAGAUGCACAAGGUAAUGUAUCAAUUUCACUUGAAGCUUACUUGUAGUUUCAGGCUUGGUCAAGUGCGAUACAAACCUUAUAGUAGGAGUCCCCCAAGUCGCCGAGCUAGGAGAUUUACCGAAGAGGUAACAGACAAGGUAAGCAAUCAGACUUCCAAGCAAGUAACCUGGAUUGGAGGUUCGACUUCGGCUUCCGGUUGAUUGUUCUCCUUUUCUUUGUGUCGUAAACAUCAACAAGGAUAAUGAGAAGCAAAUGAAGAAGAGAUGAUAUGAGAUACUUUUACUUUUGAAGAAGUAACUUUCCACAGGCUUAUUCUUGAACUGGGCUGGAGGGUUUUUUGGUUUCCUCCAGAGUAUAAGGCCGACUCAAUAAUUUAAGGUUCAAAACAAGUCCAUCAAAUCUAGAGUACGUUUAACCCUGAUGAUAUGAGAUACUUUUACUGUUGACAAAGUAGUGAAUGUAUCGGCACGUGUUAUGUUAUGCUUGUCUCUACAUGCUUCCUUGUAUCAUUCUCACUUGCCCUAUCUGUUCCUCAGGCAGAUGUGGUAUCUUCUCUGGAAGCAUAAGAUGUUGAAGAUGAGUACUCGAGAGCAAUGCCAGGUAAGUAAUCAGGCAAGGGGUUCCAGGCAGUCAGUUCCUGACUGGAAGCUUGAUUCCAAGUGCUGAUUGAUUGCUCUCUUUCUCUUUGUCUUGCAGGUAAGAACAAGGCCAAAGGAAAAGACAGGGAAAAAGCAUGAUAUGAGAUACUCUUACUUUUAACCCUGAUGAUAUAAGAUACUCUUACUCUGGUGUGGCUUGUUUGUAGAGGUAUUAUCGGGAGGAAAAAAAACUGAGUAUUUUGAGAGACUCUGCUAAGAGUGCCCUCUCGGAUGUGAAGAAAAGUUGAGUAUUUUUUUUAUUUGCAGGUCUGCCUAGUUGUGGAGGAUGAAGGUCGACAUAUAUAGGAGUCUCCCUAACAACAAGUAAUAGUGUUAUUCAUUUACUCUUCUUGGUCAUAGCAAUGUAGUGGGAGCUGCAAGCUUCACGUGUUUUAACUUUGUCAGAGCACUUUGAAAAAGUGGUAUGUGGUAUCUAAAAAGCUGAUGUUGCAUGUGAAGAUUGCAGACAAGUUUUAUCCAAGGAAAUCUGGCUCUUGAAGUUUGGAGAGCGGUGCCUCUUCGGUUUUCAAACAAGCAAUUCUGUCGAGGAUCUGGCUCUCAAGAUUCAGAGAACGAUGCCUCUUUGAUUUUUGAGAAAGCAAACAUGUUGGGAGUCUGACUCUUGAGAUUCGGAUAGUAGUGUCUCUUUGAUUUUUGAGAAAGUAAUCCUGUUGGGAGUCUGGCUCUCGAGAUUCGGAGGGCUGUGCCUCUUUGAUUUUUGAGCACGUAAUCCUGUUGGGAGUCUGGUUCUCGAGAUUCAGAGAACGGUGCCUCUUCGAUUUUUGAGAAAGUAAUCAUGUUGGGAGUCUGACUCUUGAGAUUCGGAGAGCAAUGUCUCUUCGAUUUUUGAGAAAGUAAUCCUGUUGGGAGUCUGGCUCUCGAGAUUCGAAGGGCGGUGCCUCUUCGAUUUUUGAGCAUGUAAUCCUGUUGGAAGUCUGGCUCUCAAGAUUCGGAGAACUGUGCCUCUUCGAUUUUUGAGCAAGCAAUCUUGUUGGGAGUGUUUUCUCGAAUAUGAGUAAAGGUUGGGCAUUUUUGCCAGUCUGCCUUGCCACGGAGCACGGAGGUUGACACACAUUGGAACGUUUUAGUUAUCAAGCAGUGGUGCUGUUCCUUUACCCUUGUGGGUAAUAAUAGGGUAGCUGGACUUUCAAAAUUUAUGUGUCUAAACUUUGUCAGAGAUCUUUGGCAAAGUUAUCUAUGGUACCUGAGGAGCUGAUGUUGCGUGUGGAAAGUGGUGCCUCUUCGGAAUCCGGAGAGUGGUGCCUCUUCGAUUUUUGAACCAACGGUCAUGUUGCCCUUUCUUUUGUAAGGGCACCAAUUGUGUGCAAGAAGUACAUUAAGAGAGUUAUUGCUUGUAGGAAUUUUUCCCUUACUUCAGAGAUAUAUUGCAUCUCAUUUCUCCUUCAUCAUUUCUGAGAAUGUCUGACCCAUCCGACCGUCGUUUUGACUUGAACUUUGGUGAAGAGGCAGUCAUGCCUUCUCAAGACAACAUAUGGCGCUCAUUCUUCUUAUCCUCUACUGGUCAUCUUACCGUUGGGGACUCUAUGAUGAAGAAUGAUAUGACUGCUACGGUGUUGGCCAGGAACAUUCUCUCCCAAAGAUAACAGACUACUUUCCAAAUGGUCUGAUGAGUUGGCUGUUAAGGAUUCUCUGACUUUCAGUGUUCAUUGUGCAGGUUCUAUGUCUAAUAUGGCCCAACGCCUAUUUGCUCGAACCCGCCAAGUUGAAUCUUUGGCGGCUGGAGUGAUAAGUCUCAAACAAGAUAUCAGAGGGCUCAAGCAUAAGAAUAAACAGUUGCACAGGCUCGCACAUGACUAUGCUACAAACAUGAAGAGGAAGCUCGACCAGCUGCAGGAAUCUGAUGGUCAGAUUUUACUUGAUCAUCAGAGGUUUGUGGGUUUGUUCCAAAAGCAUUUAUUGUCUUCGUCUUCUGGGGCUGUACGGCGUAAUGAAACUCCAAAUGAUCAACCUUCGGUGUCUCAUUCUUCUGGGGUUCUGCCUAAUACUGAGGCUCCGAAUAAUCACCCUCUGGUGCCUCCUCUUUCUAGGGCUCUGCCGACUGCUGAGACUUCUCCUGAGCAACCUUUGUGAAAGCUCCCUCUUGUUUGUUUAUUUUGAUUCAUGUAUAUGUAUAUAUUUGUAACUUAUCGGAGAUAUCAAUAAACAAGCUUUGCUUCAUUUCAACGUAUUAUGUUAAAUACACUAAGGCCUUUUUCACUAAGUUCUUUGAAUUUUUCCUUUUGUUGAAACUUGUAUGUUGAAUCUUUGUGAGUGAAGCAUGUAGGUUGAGGUAGUGCUCCCUUAAUUUCCCGAGUGAGAAAAACUUCUCGUUGGGAGACUUGAAAAAUCCAAGUCACUGAGUGGUCGUGAGACUUCCGAGUAUCAAGGUGCAGUAGCAUAUGGUAGAAGUCCCCCAAGUCUUUGGUCGAGGGGAGUUGACGAAUGAGGCAUUUCCUUUCUAAGUGGUAGCCCAAAACUCAUUCUUCAUAUUUAUUUGUUAUGAAAGUUGUUAGGCCCAAAGAAGAUGAGGCAUAGGCAAUUUUUUUUUUCGAUUUUUUUUUUUCGAUUUUUCGAAAAAAAAAAAUAUAUAUAUAUAUAUAUAUAUAUAUAUAUAUAUAUUAAAGUUUUAUAGGUGAAACUUUGGUGUUGAAGCUUUGUAGGUGAAGAUUUGAGGUUGACGCUUUGUUGGGUACCAUGAAUUGAUUUUGCUUCACAUUAUCUUGAUCAAGAUAGUGUGAAGCUUUUGUAGGUGAAUUUUUUGUGUUAAAACUUUGUAGGUGAAGCUUUUGUGGUGGGUGAAGCUUUUGUUGGUGAAGCUUUUAUGGGUGAAGCUUUUGUGGGUGAAGUUUUUGUGGUGGGGGAAGCUUUUGUGGUGGGGAAAGCUUUUGUGGGUGAAGUUUUUGUUGAUGAAGCUUUUAUGGGUGAAGCUUUUGUGGGUGAAGCUUUUAUUGGUGAAGCUUUUGUGGGUGAAGCUUUUAUGGUGGGUGAAGCUUUUGUGGUGGGUGAAGCUUUUAUGGGUGAAACUUUUGUGGUGGGUGAAACUUUUGUUGAUGAAGCUUUUAUGGGUGAAGCUUUUGUAGGUGAAUCUAUUAUGGGUGAAGCUUUUAUAGGUGAAGCUUUAGAGUUGAAGCUUUGUAGGUGAAGCUUUGGAGUUGAAGCUUUUGUUGGGUACCAUAAAUUGAUUUUGCUUCACACUAUCUUGAUCAAGAUAGUGUGAAGCUUUUGAGAAUUUGUAGUUGUCCUCCAUUGAUGAAGCUUUUGUUGGUGAAGCUUUGGAGUUGAAACUUUUGUUGGGUACCAUGGAUUGAUUUUGCUUCACACUAUCUUGAUCAAGAUAGUGUAAAGCUUUUGAGAAUUUGUAGUUGUCCUCCAUUAAUGAUGCUUUUGUUGGUGAAGCUUUGUUGGGUAUCACGAAUUGAUUUUGCUUAACACUAUCUUGAUCAAGAUAGUGUGAAGCUUUUGAGAAUUGUGGUUGAACUCCUUUGAUGAAGCUUUUGUUGGCACCAUAAAUUGGUUUUGCUUCACACUGUCUUGAUCAAUAGCAUGUGAAGUUUUUGAGAAUUGUGGUUGCCUUUGCCCUCCAUUGAUAAAGCUUUUGUUGGCACCAUAAAUUGGUUUUGCUUCAUACUGUCUUGAUCAAGAGUGCGUGAAGCUUUUGAGAAUUGUGGUUGAACUCUUUUGAUGAAGUUCUUGCUGGCACCAUAAAUUGGUUUUGCUUCACAUUGUCUUGAUCAAGAGUGUGUGAAACUUUUGAGAAUUGUGGUUGCUCUCCAUUGAUAAAGCUCUUGUUGGCACCAUAAAUUGGUUUUGUUUCACACUGUCUUGAUCAAGAGUGUGCGAAGCUUUUGAGAAUUGUGGUUGAACUCCUUUGAUGAAGCUCUUGUUGGCACCAUAAAUUGGUUUUGCUUCACACUGUCUUGAUAAAGAGUGUGUGAAGCUUUUGAAAAUUGUGGUUGCCCUCCAUUGAUGAAGCUCUUGUUGGCACCAUAAAUUGGUUUUGCUUCACACUGUCUUAAUCAACAGUGUAUGAAGCUUUUGAGACUUGUGGUUGAACUUCUUUGAUGAAGCUCUUGCUGGCACCAUAAAUUGGUUUUGCUUUACACUGUCUUGAUUAAGAGUGUGUGAAGCUUUCUACGAGUUGUAGUGUUUGCAUUGUUACAGAAGGGAAAUGUUUGAAGCAGAUGUAAGAGGGCUGAAUAGCUUGAUCUUCGUAUGCCAUGCACUGAAGUUGUUGUUGGCUUGCAAUAAGACUUUGUUGGUGACUAUAACUCUUGUUGGGCAUAAAUGUUCCCCUAGUUAAGUUGUCAAGCUUGAGGGUUUUUGAUUAUUUGUGAAUGCUAGGAGUUCACAUGUGCAAGUUGUACCACUCGUCUUCUGGUAAGUGGAAUGAAUGGUGAGUUGCUUUCAUUACUUGGUUAGUGGUACGAAAGUGAGUUCCUUCAUCACCUUUCAUCACAUUUUAGCACCUGGUUGGUAGCACGAGGAUGAGUUUCUUCUUCCUCUGGUUGGUGGCAUAAAUGGCAAGUUGCCAAAUGAUAUUAGAGUACGGGUUGUACAUUUCAUCACCUGGUUGGUGGCAUGAAGAAGAGUACGGGUUGUACAUUUCAUCACCUGGUUGGUGAGAAUAAGGGCAAGGUGUCUAGGCACAUUGUAGCAAGUGUCGAAUGACACAAAGUAUGUUGAACCAUUUCAAAGCACAGUUGGCUUAUGUAUGAAUGUGUUGGAAUGUAUGAUUGAAUGAAUAUACUGUGAAGCUGCUCGUUUAUUUGUAUAGUCUUGUUGACAUAUACUUAGACUUUGUUUCAUGUUGAAGUUUUGAACCCGAGCGUUUCACUGCUAGGAAUGUAAGAGGAUUAGGACCGAGUUGUCUAAAUCACAUCGUUAUUGAAUUAACACUUGUACAAUGUGAAUUUACUUGUAAUAGUACUUCAAGUGAUCAGCGUUCCAUGGAUGGCCAAAGGUCUUGCCAUCGGAGCUUCUAAACUUGUACGAGUCAAGGCGACUUAUGCCAACAACUUCAAACGGUCCAUCCCAGUUUGGACUAAGUGUUCCUUCACUCUGGACUCUGUCAUAGAGUAAUCUUUUCUUCAAUACCCAGUCCCCCACUUUGAAAGAACGAGGUUUAACCCUUGAGUCAUAGUAGUUAGAGAUGCGCUGCUUGUAGGCAACAUUCCUCAAGUGAACCUAGUUUCUGUGUUCCUCGACUAGAUCUAAGUUAAGGGUAAGUUGUUUGUCAUUUUCGCUUUACACGUAGUUCUAGACUCGAAACGUUGCUUGCUCAAGCUCAACUGGAACAACUGCCUCUGUACCAAAGGUAAGUGAGAAUGAGGUUUCUCCUGUUAAUGUCCAAUACAAAGUGCGGUAUGACCAAAGAACUUGGGGUACAAAUUCUGGCCAACAACCUUUAGCCUUGUCCAAGCUGGUUUUUAGAAUUCGCUUUAUUAUUUUGUUGAUGACUUCAACUUGUUCAUUAGAUUGGGGAUGAGCUGGGGAGGCAAAACAUAAGUUGAUGUUGAACUUAGAGCAGAACAUCCUGAACUUAUUGUUGUCGAACUCUCGCCCGUUGUCAGUGACUAUCACAUUGGCAAUGCCGAAUCUGCAAAGGAUGUUCUUCCAUACAAAGUCUUCUAUUUUUACCUCAGUAAUGGUUGCCAAGGUUCUACUUCGGCCCACUUUGUGAAGUAGUCAACUGCAACAAUUGUAUAACAAACCUUGCCCUUCCUUGCAGGCAUUGGGCCGAUCAAAUUAAGUCUCAUUGGGCGAAGGGCCAAAGGUUGAUCAUAGGAGUGAGCGGCUCAGGAGGAGAGUGAGGAAUAGUUGCGUACGUUGACACUUAUCACAUGAGCGAGAUAUUCUGAUGGCAGCUAAGGAUCGAGAUCCAGCAUGAUCUCUGCAGACUCCUUCAUGUAUUUCCCGAAUGACAGUUUCCGUCUCUACGGAUGUAAGGCAUCUUAGGUAUGGUAGGUUAAAACCCCGCUUGUAGAGUUGGUCAUUAAUAAUUAAGUAACGGAUAACCUUGUAUCAAAUCUGCUUAGCUUGGACUUUGUCAUUUAGAAGGGUGCCACGAGUAAGGAAUCUAUAAAUCGGGGUAAUCCAACAAUCCCCCUAUUGUAAGUUGCACACUUUCACAGCCAUGGUGCUUGGUGUUGCCAACAAUUCGACCUGAAUUUUUCUCCCAAUCUUGUCUUCCACCGCUGAGGCGAGGCGAGCCAAAGCAUCUGCAUGACUGUUUGCCGCUUGAGAAAUUUGGGUGAUCUGGUAGUGGAAGUGUUUGAGCAAAAAUUGUGUUUGUGCCAGAUAUGCUGCCAUGGAGCUAUCCUUAGCGUCAAAGUUGUUGGUGACCUGGUUAACCACCAAUUGGGAGUACUGAAGAUAUCAAUUCGUUUAACCCCAAAGUGUUUGGCCAAACGUAAGCCUGCUAGGAGGGCUUCAUAUUCGGCCUCAUUGUUCGACGCCUUAAAUUUGAAACGAAGAGUAUACUUUAUCGCCACUUUGUCAGGGGUCGUAAGGACUAGUCCUGCUCCAUAACCCUGUUGGUUGGAUGAGCCAUCAACAUAUAGACUCCAUGUUAGGGUUGUUGGUUCUAUUUUUUGAGCUUCCAAGGGUAAUGAAACCACUUGUUUAGGCAUAGAAACAAUGUCAACAGGAUAUGUGAAGUCGGCGAUAAAGUCUGCCAUUGCUUGGCACUUCUCAACUGGCUUUGGUUGGUAAGAGAUGUCAAACUCACCCAAUGCUAUCGCUCAUUUGAUCAUUUGCCCGGAAGUGUCAGGACUUUGAAGUAUCUGUCGAAGAAGAUGAUUGGUAAGCACGAUGAUGGAGUGUGCUUGGAAGUAAGGGCGAAGUUUUCGAGUAGACAUGGCCAAUGCUAGAGCCAAUUUCUCAAUGUUAGAGUAUCGUGUCUCCACAUCUUGUAAGGCUUUGCUAACGUAGUAGAUAGGUCGUUCGACAUUACCAUCCUUUAAAAUAAGAACGAAACUUACUGCUAAAGUCGAUACCGACAGAUAGAUAAUGAGAGUGUCAUUAACCUCAGGUUUGGAGAGCAGAGAGGCUUUACUCAUGUAGUCUUUGAGGUUCUUGAAUGCCUCAACACAUUCAUCAGUCCAUGUAAUGAACUUCUUAAUUCCCUUAAGUGCUUUGAAGAAAGAAGCACAUCUGUCUGUGACCUUAAAGAUGAUCCUAGUUAAGGCUGCCACUUUGCUAGUAAGGCUUUGGAUGUCUUUUGAAGUUAUCGGUUUCUUCAUGUCAAUGAUUGCUUUAAUCUUCUCGGGAUUAGCCUCAAUGCCUCGUUGGCUUAUCAUGAAGCCUAAGAAUUUGCUAGAACCUACGCCGAAGGCACAUUUGUUGGGGUUCAACCUCAUUCGAUACCUCUUAAGAAUGGUGAAAGUUUCAGAUAGGUUGGUGAUGUGUUGGUCAGCAUGUUUGCUCUUGACUAACAUAUCAUCAAUGUAAACGUCCAUGCUCUUCCCAAUCUGUUCGGCGAACAUUAAAUUGACCAGUCUCUAAUAAGUUGCUCCUACAUUCUUUAGGUCGAAGGGCAUGACUUUAUAGUAAUAUAGUCCCUUGUUAGUAAUGAAAGCUGUGUGUUCUUGGUCUUGAGGGUUUAUGUGGAUUUGGUUGUAACCUGAGUAAACAUCCAUGAAGCUUAAAAGUUCACACCCUGCCGUAGAGUCUAUAAGUCUGUCAAUGAGAGGAAGAGGAAAGCUAUCAUUCGACCAUCCUUUAUUUAGGUCGGUGUAAUCGACACACAUUUUCCACAAGACCUUUUGGAGUAUGAGACUUUCAUUGGUCGGAUUCUUCUUAACAAAGACAACAUUUGCUACCCACGUUGGAAAAUUGACUUCACGGACGAAGCUUAUGCCUUUGAGUUUUUCAACUUCUGCCUUCAUUGCCUCGUACUGUUCAACGUCAUAAGAUCUUUGCUUCUGUCUCACUGGCUUGGUCUUGGGGUCAAUACUUAAGCGAUGACAAAUGAUAUUGGGAGAGAUGCCUGGCAUGUCCUCUUAUGACCAAGCGAAGACCUCAGUGUUCUCUUACAAAAAAAAGAUCAAUGUCAACCGAAUGAGUGAUGACAAGGUGGUGCCAAUCUUCACCAUGCGAUCCAGAUAAUCUUUUGAGAUAGAGACCUUCUUCAACUCUUCAAUGGGUUGUUCUUGCUGGGUGAAAGAGUCAUCUCGAGGAUCGUUGGGUUGAUUGUUGCCACCGUGAAGAUCCAAGUUGACUUCGUCAGGGCUGGUCUUUAUGACUUGGUCAUGUAUAGAAAGGGUUUCCUUAGGCACAAACAAGUGCUGACCGAAGUGUUGUAACAUGAUCGUGCACUAAAUUGAUCUCCUCUAAUGUAACCAUUGCCAUAGGGGGUUGGAAAUUUCAUCAACAACAUAUGUGUGGAUACCAUGGCCUUGAGAUCAUUGAUGUCUGUGCGUCCGAAGAUGACAUUGUAUGUUGUUGGGCAAUCAACCACCAGGAAGUUAGUGGUAAUGGUAACUGUGUAAAGGUCUGUACCAAUGGUGAAAGGUAAGUGUAUGCUCCCUAAAGGUUGCACGAUAUCACCGGAGAAGCUUAUCAGAGGGGAAAUCGAGCGAUCGAGCAAGUGUUCAGCUACAUUAAGUGCCCUGAAAGCUUAGCAAACAUGACAUUGACCGAAGCCCCCGUGUCUACCAGGAUUCGUCGUACUUCAAAGUUGGCUAUGUGAGAUUCCACAAUCAGUGGGUUGUUGUAAGGGUAAAUGAUACCUCUUUCUUCCUCAGGGUAGAAACAUAUUGGAUCCCAGUUAAGAUCCCAGUUAGGCUUUUGAUACUUACCUCCCCUAAUGUCUUCCACGUGAAACACUUGGUGGCCAGACCUUAAAACUCGUUCACUAUUUUUCAUGGCCCUAUUGGAAGAUUUAAAUGUGGGUGUGCCACCACUUAUGAAAUAUAUCACAUUCACUUGGCGUUGGUUACAGUUACCCAUUGGAGGGUGAAUAAGGAAUUGAUCAAUUUUUCCUUCACGUGCCAAAGCUUCAAUAUGAUCACGAAGAGUGAUACACUUCUCGCCGUCAUGGCCGUUAUGCUCGUGGUAGCAGCAAAACGUGCCCGUGUUCUUCAUGGGCUUGUAAUCCGGGUGCCUCGACUUUGACUUCGGUAUCAGGUGUGCUAUGCUGGGGUAAAUGGCCAUGCAUAUGGCGUUCAAAAGUGUGUAUGUCUUAUACCUCGGGGUAGGGGUUGUCCUGCCACGUGCUUGACCCACUGUGUUGACUGCCUGGGGUCGGGGAUUAUCAUGGCGAUACCCUUAGUUAUCACGGUAGUGUCCCUUACUCCUUUUACUAAAAUGAGACUAGUGUGGAUGAAAAUCUUUCUUUUUGCCCUGAGAUUGAUAUGCCUAUUGACUUGGCAAAGUAUUAAGUAAGGCAUGGGGAGGCACCGCUGCUGUUUGGAAGGUCGAGGUCUUUUCAUUUGGUUGGAUUUGGCUUUCAUUCCCUACUUGCUGAUAAGGGGUGGUUGUGGGGGGUUUCCCUUGAUAUGUAAUUUCCUCGGCGGAUGCAUGGUUGUAAGCCUAUGCCAUCACCUCAGAGUAAGUCUUCCAAGUGUUGGCAUUGAUCAUGUACUUGAAGAAACAAUCACGUAGGCCUGUCGUGAAGGCCUUGAGGGCGGUCUUGUCAUCUGCCUCAGUGCAGCGAGAAUACUCAUGGCUGAAAUGACCAGCAUACUCUCGUAGUGACUCGUCUGGCUUUUGGCGAAUAAGGUACAAGUCAUCUGCAAAAUGCAAGUGCUCGGUCUGGAAGAUGUGUUGAGAGACAAACAGUUUCCUCAUUUCCUCAAAUGAGUCUACUGUCUCAGGUGGAAGACGGCAAUACCAGUUUAGAGCUCCGCCAGAGAGGGUGGAAGGGAAGAGAAGACAUCGUUCUUCGUCGGUGUGCAUCCGAUAUGCCAUGGUGAACUCAAAGAGGUUAAGGUGUUUAAUUGGGUCAUCCCUUCCCGUAUAGAGUUGUAAACCAAGCUUUUGUUUUGUCUUCGCUUGAAGGGGGUGUCGAGGAUCCUCCUUGUAAGAGGGCCAGGCCUAGGUUGGUUCCAAUCAGGUAUCUCAGCUUGUCGUUCGGCCUUCAACUUGUUUACUUCCUUAAAAAACUGUAGGACAAGAGGGUUCUGAGUGAAGUCACGUACCACUGGAGCUUUCUUUCGUAAAUCUCCAUAUCCUCUUGGAAGUAUGAAGGUUUGAUCAAGAG
RNAcentral lists this long non-coding RNA (22526 nucleotides) under Malus domestica (apple). Its description in RNAcentral is "long non-coding RNA (MDOM_LNC015479)". Lineage: Eukaryota; Viridiplantae; Streptophyta; Magnoliopsida; Rosales; Rosaceae. The record is from RNAcentral.